Molecule: ribosomal RNA, 274 nt
Filed under: uncultured bacterium
Lineage: Bacteria
Description: partial 16S ribosomal RNA
Rfam family: Bacterial small subunit ribosomal RNA
Source: RNAcentral
AAACGGAGGGUGCAAACGUUGCUCGGAAUUACUGGGCGUAAAGCGCAUGCAGGCGGUUUGUUAAGUUUCGUGUGAAAGCCCUGGGCCUAACCCAGGAAGUGCACGGAAAACUGGCAAACUAGAGUACUGGAGAAGUGGGCGGAAUUCCGGGUGUAGAGGUGAAAUUCGUAGAUAUCCGGAGGAACACCAGCAGCGAAAGCGGUUCACUUGACAGAUACUGACGCUCAGAUGCGAAAGCGUGGGGAGCAAACAGGAUUAGAAACCCCAGUAGUCC